RNAcentral lists this long non-coding RNA (432 nucleotides) under Rattus norvegicus (Norway rat). Its description in RNAcentral is "long non-coding RNA NONRATT021027". Lineage: Eukaryota; Metazoa; Chordata; Mammalia; Rodentia; Muridae. The record is from RNAcentral.
CGAUUUCUCUCUUUCCUCAAAGUAUGGUUUUAUGGAAUUUGAGGCAAAAGGAAAAAAAAAAAACAAAAGGAGCUCAGUGGGUUUGCUGUUGUUCAAGACCAAAUGUAGUAAAUUACAUUUAUUCCGUCUUCCUGUUUUGAUACAUUGCCCCCCUAUACCUUUUUUGUUAGCCCUUAACAGCUUCAAACAGUCUAAAGUGUAUCAAAGAGAUCAUUACGGAACACUAGAACAUUCAUACCCUCAGUUCCUAUCACUAAAUGACUUUGAGGAGAUUUAUAGUACAACAGACAAGCACUUCCUGUUAUGCGCAUCAUAGCUCAAAUCUUUAAUCCCUUUAGACUUCCGUUAAUAAAAAUAGAAACGCAAUUGGCAGAUGUCUUGGGUAAGACUACCUUUAGGAGGAGUUAAAAGUUUUUUUUCUUGUUCAUUAAU